UACGGAGGGGACUAGCGUUGUUCGGAAUUACUGGGCGUAAAGCGCACGUAGGCGGAUUUGUAAGUCAGGGGUGAAAUCCCGGGGCUCAACCUCGGAACUGCCUUUGAUACUGCAAAUCUCGAGUCCGGAAGAGGUGAGUGGAAUUCCUAGUGUAGAGGUGAAAUUCGUAGAUAUUAGGAAGAACACCAGUGGCGAAGGCGGCUCACUGGUCCGGUACUGACGCUGAGGUGCGAAAGCCAGGGGAGCGAACGGG
Molecule: ribosomal RNA, 253 nt
Filed under: uncultured bacterium
Lineage: Bacteria
Description: partial 16S ribosomal RNA
Rfam family: Bacterial small subunit ribosomal RNA
Source: RNAcentral